RNAcentral lists this non-coding RNA (24 nucleotides) under Rattus norvegicus (Norway rat). Lineage: Eukaryota; Metazoa; Chordata; Mammalia; Rodentia; Muridae. The record is from RNAcentral.
UAUGACCACGCCAAUUCUCUUGGA